This 631-nucleotide long non-coding RNA is filed under the name Homo sapiens (human). RNAcentral describes it as "non-protein coding lnc-IL17RA-3:2". Lineage: Eukaryota; Metazoa; Chordata; Mammalia; Primates; Hominidae. The record is from RNAcentral.
CAGCAAGACCCCAGACUCUAGAAGAAAAAGACCAAAAAGAUUUCUGUUAGGAACAGAACAUAAUCUGAAAUGAUACAGAACUGUACUUAUAACAGCUCAUUUAUUUCUCAGAUAGUCCUAUGAAACAAACAUUGCCAAUGCCAAUUUCACAGGUGAGAAAAUGGAAGCUUGGAGGAGUGAAGGAAGUUGCCCAAGGCCCUAUAGCUAGUGGAUGGCCGGGCUGGGACUCCAUCGCCAGGCCUGCAGUCCUUUCACUUCUGCCACGCUCCCUGGGGAGUGAAGGCAGAGGGAGGCGUUUUCAUGUCCAAGGGCCCUGUGGAGGACUCACCAUAGGAGGGUCUCAGGGGCCAUCUACUAUCAUCUUUUGAAGCCUGCCAAGUGCCAGGCAUGCAGGUGUGGGGACAGGGUUAUGAACCAAUAUGGACAGAGUCCAUGGAGUAGUAGAAGACAUAGAAUCAGCAAGUAUAUGUGGGUCAUGGGGCGGUAGGUACCAUGAAAACAUUAAGUAGGGUAAGGAUGAUGGUGCUAUGUUUACAGAAAGUCAAGGAAAUUGGAAUGGCACAUCCAUCCAUCAGACCCAUAAGUGGGUCUGGGAAAAAAAGAAAGAUGCUUGGCCAGGCACAGUGGUUCA